Molecule: ribosomal RNA, 250 nt
Filed under: uncultured prokaryote
Description: partial 16S ribosomal RNA
Rfam family: Bacterial small subunit ribosomal RNA
Source: RNAcentral
UACGGAGGGUGCGAGCGUUAAUCGGAAUUACUGGGCGUAAAGCGCACGUAGGCUGUCAUGUAAGUCAGGGGUGAAAGCCCACGGCUCAACCGUGGAACUGCCUUUGAUACUGCACGACUUGAAUACGGGAAAGGGCGGCGGAAUUCCAGGUGUAGGAGUGAAAUCCGUAGAUAUCUGGAGGAACAUCAGUGGCGAAGGCGGCCGCCUGGACCGAGAUUGACGCUGAGGUGCGAAAGCGUGGGGAGCAAAC